UAUGAUAGGUGGUGCAUGGCCGUUCUUAGUUCGNGGAGUGAUCUGUCUGCUUAAUUGCGUUUCAAAAUCUAAACCUGAGCGACAAGGUGCUGCUAUCGAAACUGUCUUUGAGUGUGAACUAUAAGUCUUUUGACUUAUGACCAUCACUCUAGACGUUUAUGUUUUGGUGUUGGCCCUUGAUGCUCAUUUGAACGCAACGGACGUGAUUGCAACCCCUUGUUGAGAUUUAUCCGAUCUCUACGUUCACUGAACCACACUCUUUAGCGAGAGCAGUG
This 275-nucleotide ribosomal RNA is filed under the name Globigerinoides elongatus. Its description in RNAcentral is "partial small subunit ribosomal RNA". The record is from RNAcentral. Lineage: Eukaryota; Foraminifera; Rotaliida; Globigerinidae.